RNAcentral lists this ribosomal RNA (449 nucleotides) under uncultured organism. RNAcentral describes it as "partial 16S ribosomal RNA". It matches the Rfam family "Bacterial small subunit ribosomal RNA", at positions 334 to 799 of the family's 1533-position model. The record is from RNAcentral.
CACUCCUGCGGGAGGCAGCAGUGGGGAAUAUUGGACAAUGGGCGCAAGCCUGAUCCAGCCAUGCCGCGUGAGUGAUGAAGGCCCUAGGGUUGUAAAGCUCUUUUGUGCGGGAAGAUAAUGACGCUACCGCAAGAAUAAGCCCCGGCUAACUUCGUGCCAGCAGCCGCGGUAAUACGAAGGGGGCUAGCGUUGCUCGGAAUCACCGGGCGUAAAGGGUGCGUAGGCGGGUCUUUAAGUCAGGGGUGAAAUCCUGGAGCUCAACUCCAGAACUGCCUUUGAUACUGAAGAUCUUGAGUUCGGGAGAGGUGAGUGGAACUGCGAGUGUAGAGGUGAAAUUCGUAGAUAUUCGCAAGAACACCAGUGGCGAAGGCGGCUCACUGGCCCGAUACUGACGCUGAGGCACGAAAGCGUGGGGAGCAAACAGGAUUAGAUACCCCUGUAGUCGCAUG